RNAcentral lists this ribosomal RNA (460 nucleotides) under uncultured bacterium. Its description in RNAcentral is "partial 16S ribosomal RNA". It matches the Rfam family "Bacterial small subunit ribosomal RNA", at positions 338 to 795 of the family's 1533-position model. The record is from RNAcentral.
CCUACGGGAGGCAGCAGUGAGGAAUAUUGGUCAAUGGACGCAAGUCUGAACCAGCCACGCCGCGUGCAGGAAGACGGCUCUAUGAGUUGUAAACUGCUUUUGUACGGGGGUAAACUCAGAUCCGAGUAUCUGUCUGAAAGUAUCGUACGAAUAAGGUUCGGCUAACUCCGUUCCAGCAGCCGCGGUAAUACGGAGGAUUCAAGCGUUAUCCGGAUUUAUUGGGUUUAAAGUGUGCGUAGGCGGUUGGAUAAGUCAGAGGUGAAAUCCCGAGGCUCAACUUCGGAAUUGCCUAUGAUACUGUGCGACUAGAGAAUAGUUGCGGUAGGCGGAAUGUAUGGUGUAGCGGUGAAAUGCUUAGAGAUCAUGCAGAACACCGAUUGCGAAGGCAGCUUACCAGGCUACUUCUGACGUUGAGGCACGAUAGCGUGGGGAGCAAACAGGAUUAGAUACCCGGGUAGUC